ACUCGUGUAGCUCAAUGGUAGAGCAGAGACCUCUAAAGUCUUAGGUUACCAGUUCGACUCUGGUCACGAGUA
This 72-nucleotide transfer RNA is filed under the name Acinetobacter phage vB_AbaM_DP45. Its description in RNAcentral is "tRNA-OTHER". It matches the Rfam family "tRNA". Rfam says of the family: Transfer RNA (tRNA) molecules are approximately 80 nucleotides in length. Their secondary structure includes four short double-helical elements and three loops (D, anti-codon, and T loops). Lineage: Duplodnaviria; Heunggongvirae; Uroviricota; Caudoviricetes; Pantevenvirales; Straboviridae. The record is from RNAcentral. RNAcentral also lists the same sequence under 2 other names.